Molecule: small RNA, 178 nt
Filed under: Marmota monax (woodchuck)
Lineage: Eukaryota; Metazoa; Chordata; Mammalia; Rodentia; Sciuridae
Source: RNAcentral
UGAAAGAGUUGAAAUUUCUGAAAAUUCUAUGUGUUAUUCCAAAUACAUCUUCACUCCAGCUGAUAAAACUUAAAGGUCUGUAGAGUGUGUGUGUGUGUGUGUGUGUGUGUGUGUGUGUGUGUGUUUGAUUUCUCUUAGGAACAGAGACUGAGACAAGCAUUCUUUGAAAACAGUUCAU